GUCACGUCAAAAUCGUACGUCUCAGUGCGAGCAGCCGCCAUUUUCUCAGCGUGAUAGAAGCGAGAAGCGAGUGAAAGACUAUGACUUGUCCAGCUCCUGUCUUCAUUGUCCUCGCGCUGAGAGUUAAAGACACAGAAGCUGUUUGUGUGAGGAGUCACAGACCUGUGUGAGGAUGAGGAGGAGGUGUUCUUCUGAAGAGAGGGACAGACGGUUUAAGGAGAGUAAACUUCAGAAUAACAUCAAGUUAUCUUUAUUCUUACUAAGACUAAAAUAAUGUGUGUGUUUUUUUUAGAUGUUGAAAUCCAGAGACAAGAUAACUUCAUUCUUUUGAGACUGAUAACUCAAACUAACUGGAGUUAAGGACACACAAGUCUGCUUGUGUGAGGAAGUGGUUUUCUCAGCUUCUUCUGAAGAGAGGGAAAGAUCGUUUAAGGCAAGUAAACUUCAUAAUU
Long non-coding RNA from Carassius gibelio (silver crucian carp), 452 nucleotides. RefSeq lists it as uncharacterized. The record is from RefSeq and is a predicted model, not a curated record. NCBI's taxonomy places the organism in Eukaryota, Metazoa, Chordata, Actinopteri, Cypriniformes, Cyprinidae. The transcript has 3 exons.